RNAcentral lists this non-coding RNA (45 nucleotides) under Schistosoma haematobium. Lineage: Eukaryota; Metazoa; Platyhelminthes; Trematoda; Strigeidida; Schistosomatidae. The record is from RNAcentral.
AUCCAGUUGACGAGUCUCAAACAAGACAAAACGCGCGUCCUGGAU